UGGGGAAUUGUUCGCAAUGGGCGCAAGCCUGACGACGCAACGCCGCGUGGAGGACGAAGACCUUCGGGUCGUAAACUCCUUUCGAUCGAGACGAAUGGCCUCCGGGUGAACAAUCCGGAGGAGUGACGGUACCGAGAGAAGAAGCCCCGGCUAACUCCGUGCCAGCAGCCGCGGUAAUACGGGGGGGGCAAGCGUUGUUCGGAAUUACUGGGCGUAAAGGGCUCGUAGGUGGCCAACUAAGUCAGACGUGAAAUCCCUCAGCUUAACUGGGGAACUGCGUCUGAUACUGGAUGGCUUGAGAUUGGGAGAGGGAUGCGGAAUUCCAGGUGUAGCGGUGAAAUGCGUAGAUAUCUGGAGGAACACCGGUGGCGAAGGCGGCAUCCUGGACCAACACUGACACUGAGGAGCGAAAGCCAGGGGAGCAAACGGGAUUAGAUACCCGCGUAGUCC
RNAcentral lists this ribosomal RNA (450 nucleotides) under uncultured bacterium. RNAcentral's name for it is "bacterial SSU rRNA". It matches the Rfam family "Bacterial small subunit ribosomal RNA", at positions 355 to 796 of the family's 1533-position model. The record is from RNAcentral.